AAUGAACGUUGGUGGCGUGGAUUAGGCAUGCAAGUCGUGCGAGAAGGCCCCGCAAGGGGCCGGACAGCGGCGAACGGGGUAGUAAGGCGUCGGUACGUGCCCUGGGGUCCGGGAUAGCGGCGGGAAACUGCCGGUAAUACCGGAUGACCUCUUUGGAGCAAAGGUGUGAUUCCGCCCUUGGAGCGGCCGACGUGGUACCAGCUAGUUGGUGAGGUAACGGCUCACCAAGGCUCAGACGCCUAGGGGGUGUGAGAGCAUGGCCCCCACCACUGGGACUGAGACACUGCCCAGACACCUACGGGUGGCUGCAGUCGAGAAUCUUCGGCAAUGGGCGCAAGCCUGACCGAGCGACGCCACGUGCGGGAUGACGGCCCUCGGGUUGUAAACCGCUGUCGGGGGGGAUGAAGUCAUGCGGGGCAAUCCCCGCGUGUUGACAGAGCCCCGGAGGAAGCGCGGGCUAAGUACGUGCCAGCAGCCGCAGUAAGAC
This 487-nucleotide ribosomal RNA is filed under the name uncultured bacterium. RNAcentral's name for it is "bacterial SSU rRNA". It matches the Rfam family "Bacterial small subunit ribosomal RNA", at positions 28 to 526 of the family's 1533-position model. The record is from RNAcentral.